Non-coding RNA from Chiloscyllium plagiosum (whitespotted bambooshark), 756 nucleotides. NCBI's taxonomy places the organism in Eukaryota, Metazoa, Chordata, Chondrichthyes, Orectolobiformes, Hemiscylliidae. The record is from RefSeq and is a predicted model, not a curated record.
UGCCAUGGAACAUGAAGAACAUUAUUCCAUGUAAUACAGUUCCGUUAUAAUGGACGUAAAUAUCUGCUGAAGCUGAUUGACACACCCACAAAUCAUAAAAUGUGAUGAGGGCAUCGCUGGUUGGAUUUCUUGCCCCCAGUGUCAGCCAUAUUGUUGUGGUUCUGGAGUCACAUGUCAGCCAGACCAGCCUGGAAGGUGGCAGGUGAAGGAGCAGCUCUCCAGCGGCAGCAAUGCGAGGACAGGCCGGACACAUCUCCCCUCCUAACCCAGUGUCUCCCGGCAAGUGAGAGCAGAUCCUAGGCUGAAUCUCCUGUACUGGACUUGCAGGGUGAGCCGAGGCUCCAGUUAUCAACUGAAGGAGUGGUAGUGUCAGCUAAAGUGAUGACGGACAACCGCGAAAACCAAUGACCAGUGACAGCGUCUUAAAUAGUGUUGGAUGGUUAACAGGAAAGACAGAACUCAAGCAUUCCCAGACCCAUGGUUCCAGCUGGGAUGUGACAAUUGCAAUAGUAGCAGUGGAGGAGGCUGUAACCAAGACCCCAGAGCCCAUUACAGAGACUACUGCCAAUGCCAAGCAGCAACUGGAGGAGCAGUGAAGGAGGAACAAGAAGAGAGAAAGAUGAGCUCUUUUAAAGUAAAAUCUUGCAUUAUAUUCAGUGUUUCAAGAUGGUGCCACAGUGUGGCGACACUUGGUGUAUAACACGUGAAAAACAUUUUUUACUGUACGUUUUGCACACGUGACAAUAAAUCUAAAUC